RNAcentral lists this long non-coding RNA (457 nucleotides) under Zea mays. Its description in RNAcentral is "long non-coding RNA (ZMAY_LNC001444)". Lineage: Eukaryota; Viridiplantae; Streptophyta; Magnoliopsida; Poales; Poaceae. The record is from RNAcentral.
CUUCCUUUACCAAGCAAAUUAGCUUCUGAAAAUCCAUUGGUUCCAUUUUCUAGUGUCUGGUAAGAAACUCUUUCAUAGUGUUCCUCGAUUUUUGGUGGUUGGAAUGACCUCGUCUGCCUUUGUCUAAGCUUCUUGCAGAUCAAUUGAGCAGCAAUAGCAAAAGCUAAGAACAGGAGUGCACCGGUUGUUGCUAGGCCUAUUGUAAGAGAUUUCAACUUCUCUUUUUUGUUACUUUUCACCACAUUUAUGUGGCACGGAGGUAAACGAAGCUCAGUUACCCCACCACAAAGAUCAUUAUUUCCAGUAAUUGACAAGUUAGCCAAAAUUUUGAAUAUCCCCUCUUUUGGCACUUCCCCUUGCAGAUUGUUGAAGGAUAGAUCUAAUUCUGACAAUGUCAAGUUUUGCAAUAUUAUUGGGAUUGUCCCUGACAAAUUGUUGUGUGCCAGAUACAACUGUU